UAAGUCCUACUCGUUACAUUUUCAAAACAGGCUCGUAACUUUUGCUUGAAUGCACUUGAGGGGAAUUAUUUCAUGCCACUGCUUGUCUACAAACCGAUUUGAGCCUAAAGAGUAACAUAUGAUAGGAAAUCCUGUUCCUGUAUUAAUCGCCAGAGGACAUCGCAUAAAAAGAGAUGACGUGUGCCAAAUUAAGGGGCUAAAAGUGGGUUGGUGUUUUUAUUCAUUUAUUUAUUUAUUUAUUUUUUUGCCACAACACUGGAACGACUAGCCCUACUGAAGAGGCGCGAGCAUAAAAGGAGUGACUUUUUUAAGUGUCAGGGAGAGAAAAGAAAGAGCGCUAACUUCACUCAGAGAUGGAGAAAGAUAAGAAAAACAGGACAGGAAUGGAAGAGAUAUAUUUAAAGGUCCAGCCUGCCUGGUAAGGGGUCCAGUCAUUAUUGGACUUAACUUAUGGACUCGGUUCACAGGAAGUGCAGGAUGGACAUCUGAGCCUUUUGGUCCAUUGGAUCCUGGAUCUCCUCCAGUGUGUGAAAACAUUGAUGUUCCAACCUCAUCUUCAUCGUCGUGAUCGGACCACACAGUGGAGAGUAUUAUAGUUGGCUCUUUCGAAAAUAUGCCCCUCUGCUGCCUGUGAUGACCUCUGACUGUGGUUGCUAGGUUCCACCUUGGCAAGCAAGAGGGAGAGGAAAAAAAAGAAACAUCAGGUUUGCUCCGACCACUUGUGAUUCAUCUAUUCAAGUAAUCCUGCCUUUGGAGCAGAUAUACUCUCUGCUCUAUGACCUUCACUGGACAAGCAUUGGUUUCAGGGCUGUGAUUUUCAGGUCCCUACUGUGUUUGGUGUGGAUGCCUGUGGAGACACUAAUACAAUCCAUAGAGCACAGCUUUAAUAUGGUGCUGAGAAUCCUCUUCUAUUCAACCUUCAGCUUUCUAGAGGCACUUGGGCAAUCUUUAAGUUGCUAUUUUUAUGAAGCAAAAGGUAUCUGUCAUAAAACUACACUGAGACACUGAGACCACUUAACUAAAGGAAGAGACUGCUGUGUAUGUGUGCAUUAUCUCUUUAUACCUUUCGUCCGGUUUAUUGCCCUAAAAGCCCUUGGGCCUUUUUUUACUCCCAUAUAAAUAGUCGUUUACCGAGUCAAUACGCCCAGUUAAUGUUAAGUCACAAUAGCCAGUAUAUGGCAGUGAUCCAUACCAAGUGAUGUGCUUAAGGGUAGUGUAAUGUUUUCAUGUCAAGUCAAUGUUUUUAUAUCUCAGUAAGUGCUGUCACUGCAACAAGGCUUCAUUGGUGAAGCAGGGCGGUCUUAAGUGAUUUGAAAAAUAAAAGCGUAUGUUUACCUCAUCCUUAUGGCCUU
This is a long non-coding RNA of Oreochromis niloticus (Nile tilapia), 1352 nucleotides long. RefSeq lists it as uncharacterized. The record is from RefSeq and is a predicted model, not a curated record. The transcript has 7 exons. NCBI's taxonomy places the organism in Eukaryota, Metazoa, Chordata, Actinopteri, Cichliformes, Cichlidae.